Molecule: ribosomal RNA, 462 nt
Filed under: uncultured bacterium
Lineage: Bacteria
Description: partial 16S ribosomal RNA
Rfam family: Bacterial small subunit ribosomal RNA
Source: RNAcentral
GACGAACGCUGGCGGCGUGCUUAACACAUGCAAGUCGAGCGACGCUCUUCCUUCGGGGAGAUGACGGAGCGGCGAACGGGUGAGUAACACGUGGGCAACCUGCCCCUAGCUCUGGGACAACACCGGGAAACCGGUGCUAAUACCGGAUACGACAUCGAGCGGCAUCUCUCGAUGUGGAAAGUUUUUUCGGCUAGGGAUGGGCCCGCGGCCUAUCAGCUUGUUGGUGGGGUAAUGGCCCACCAAGGCGACGACGGGUAGCCGGCCUGAGAGGGCGACCGGCCACACUGGGACUGAGACACGGCCCAGACUCCUACGGGAGGCAGCAGUGGGGAAUAUUGCGCAAUGGGCGAAAGCCUGACGCAGCGACGCCGCGUGAGGGAUGACGGCCUUCGGGUUGGAAACCUCUUUCAGCAGGGACGAAUUCAGACGGUACCUGCAGAAGAAGCACCGGCCAACUACGUG